UACGUAGGGUGCAAGCGUUGUCCGGAAUUAUUGGGCGUAAAGAGCUCGUAGGCGGUUUGUCGCGUCGAAUGUGAAAUCCCGGGGCUCAACCCCGGGCCUGCAUUCGAUACGGGCAGACUAGAGUUCGGUAGGGGAGUCUGGAAUUCCUGGUGUAGCGGUGAAAUGCGCAGAUAUCAGGAAGAACACCCGUGGCGAAGGCGGCUCUCUGGGACGGUACUGACGCUGAGACGCGAAAGCGUGGGGAGCGAACAGG
This 253-nucleotide ribosomal RNA is filed under the name uncultured bacterium. RNAcentral describes it as "partial 16S ribosomal RNA". It matches the Rfam family "Bacterial small subunit ribosomal RNA", at positions 524 to 776 of the family's 1533-position model. The record is from RNAcentral.